This 465-nucleotide ribosomal RNA is filed under the name Vreelandella stevensii. Its description in RNAcentral is "partial 16S ribosomal RNA". It matches the Rfam family "Bacterial small subunit ribosomal RNA", at positions 338 to 795 of the family's 1533-position model. Lineage: Bacteria; Pseudomonadati; Pseudomonadota; Gammaproteobacteria; Oceanospirillales; Halomonadaceae. The record is from RNAcentral.
CCUACGGGAGGCUGCAGUGGGGAAUAUUGGACAAUGGGGGGAACCCUGAUCCAGCCAUGCCGCGUGUGUGAAGAAGGCCCUCGGGUUGUAAAGCACUUUCAGUGAGGAAGAACGCCUGGUGGUUAAUACCCAUCAGGAAAGACAUCACUCACAGAAGAAGCACCGGCUAACUCCGUGCCAGCAGCCGCGGUAAUACGGAGGGUGCGAGCGUUAAUCGGAAUUACUGGGCGUAAAGCGCGCGUAGGUGGCUUGAUAAGUCGGUUGUGAAAGCCCCGGGCUCAACCUGGGAACGGCAUCCGGAACUGUCAAGCUAGAGUGCAGGAGAGGAAGGUAGAAUUCCCGGUGUAGCGGUGAAAUGCGUAGAGAUCGGGAGGAAUACCAGUGGCGAAGGCGGCCUUCUGGACUGACACUGACACUGAGGUGCGAAAGCGUGGGUAGCAAACAGGAUUAGAUACCCUGGUAGUC